GGUAAAAUGGCUGAUAAAAGUAGUAAACUGUAAAUUUACAAAUGAAAUAUGAAUUUCUUUUACCA
RNAcentral lists this transfer RNA (65 nucleotides) under Abroscelis anchoralis. Its description in RNAcentral is "Cicindela anchoralis tRNA-Tyr". The record is from RNAcentral. Lineage: Eukaryota; Metazoa; Arthropoda; Insecta; Coleoptera; Carabidae.